AUGCUUACUCUGAUCGAUAAGGUCAUUGUUCAUAGUGACAGAGACAGGGAGGAGGGAGGCCAGGACUCGGAGGCCGCCAUCAACCGCCAGAUAAACCUGGAGCUCUACGCCUCUUACGUCUAUCUGUCCAUGUCUUACUACUUUGACCGCGAUGAUGUGGCUUUGAAGAACUUCGCCAAAUACUUUCUCCACCAAUCUCAUGAGGAGAGGGAACAUGCUGAGAAAUUGAUGAAGCUGCAGAACCAACGAGGUGGCUGAAUCUUCCUUCAGGAUAUCAAGAAACCAGACCGUGAUGAUUGGGAGAACGGGCUGAAUGCAAUGGAGUGUGCAUUACACUUGGAAAAGAGUGUGAAUCAGUCACUACUGGAACUGCACAAACUGGCCACUGAUAAAAAUGACCCCCAUUUGUGUGACUUCAUUGAGACUCAUUACCUGAAUGAGCAGGUGAAAUCCAUCAAAGAAUUGGGUGACCAUGUAACCAACCUGCACAAGAUGGGGGCCCCCGAAUCUGGCAUGGCAGAGUAUCUCUUUGACAAGCACACCUUGGGAAACAGUGAUAAUGAGAGCUAAGCCUUAGGCUGUCUUCCCAG
This is an RNA transcript of Enhydra lutris kenyoni (northern sea otter), 590 nucleotides long. It is a transcript of the gene named ferritin heavy chain pseudogene, with no coding region annotated. The transcript has 2 exons. The record is from RefSeq and is a predicted model, not a curated record. Lineage: Eukaryota; Metazoa; Chordata; Mammalia; Carnivora; Mustelidae.